This is a long non-coding RNA of Megalobrama amblycephala (Wuchang bream), 1231 nucleotides long. RefSeq lists it as uncharacterized. NCBI's taxonomy places the organism in Eukaryota, Metazoa, Chordata, Actinopteri, Cypriniformes, Xenocyprididae. The transcript is spliced from 2 exons. The record is from RefSeq and is a predicted model, not a curated record.
AAAAUAUCUUAAUUUGUGUUCUGAAGAUGAAUGAAGGUCUCACGGGUGUGGAACGACAUGAGGGCAGCAUCAGAAACAAUGAAGAUGAGUCUUCCUGUCACUCACCUUUGGUUUGAACUGGCGAGCAAACAGCAGGUAUCUGCGAAUCUCAUCUAGAUUGUAGACACGCUCCACAGAAUUCUCAAUCCUGGAGUGGAGAUCCACUAUACGCCUGGCUAUGGCAUAAUCAGUGACCUAAAGAGAGAGAGACAGAGGCAUUUACUAACAGUAUAACAACAUCCUGCUGUAUCCACAAUCAUCUUCAUAUGCUGUUACACUGUUGUUCAUGAUCAUACCUCAUUGCAGUCGUCCACCAGGAUGAAGAAGAGAUCGAAUCGUGACAUGAUGGGUGCCGUCAGGUUGAUGUUCUGCUUGAGAGAUUUGGAGCGGUCGUAACGCCCACUUACUGGGUUCGCCGCAGCCAAGAUGGAUGUACGAGCAUUCAGAGUUGCCUACGAUUUGAAAAAAUAGUCUCUUAUGGAACAAGUAUGAAAAUAUCUUGGCUAUUAUGGCUAGGGGUGAGCAAUAUAUGUGGACACCUGCAGACACAAGCUACCGUUUUAAAGUCCCAGAAAGGUAAAGACAUCAUUAAAGUAAUCCAUGUGACUCCAGUGCUUUAACCUCAGUUUUAUGAAGCAACACGAGUGCUUUGUUUGCCCCCAAAAAACAAAAUUUACCACUUUAUUUACAAAAUAUUAAUCUCCAACAUGCAUUCAUGAGAGCACCACGAUGCAUGCGUGUUGACGCAAAAGCAAGUGCUUCAUAAAAUUGAGGUUAAACCACUGAGUCACACGGAUUACAUAAUUAAUGAUAUCUUUACUACCGUUCUGGGGCCUGAAAAUGGCAGCUGUGUAGGCUGUCAAUGGAGGGAUAAAGCUCUCAGAUUUCAUUAAAAAAGAUCUUAAUUUGUGUUCUGAAGAUGAACGAAUGCCUUACAGGUUUGGAAUGACAUGAGGGUGAGUAAUUUAUGACAGAAUUUUCAUUUUUGCGUGAACUAACCCUUUAAGACAUGAAAGAGAAUUCAAGUUCUCGCAUGUCAUUUAUAUCUUAAGAAAAAAUUGGAUGUCAAUGCAUUAAGUCUUAAAGUGACAGCAGCCUAAUAUACUUGCUGCUGUCUUGAUGUUAAUCAAACAACAAUGGGAAAAGAUUGUGAUUUAUAUCGUUAUCAUGAAAUAAAAUUACUCAUACUGUA